This 654-nucleotide long non-coding RNA is filed under the name Struthio camelus australis. Its description in RNAcentral is "lncRNA (ENSSCUG00000015202.1)". The record is from RNAcentral. Lineage: Eukaryota; Metazoa; Chordata; Aves; Struthioniformes; Struthionidae.
GUGCUCCCUCCUCUGAAACCAAACACCGCAGUUCUUUGCUUUCACCAGCAGACUUCAUAUGCAUCAGCUUAUCACACUUUGAGAGCUCCGGAUACCUCAAGCCACAGGAGCAAUACACGAAACACUUGCACAAUCCUCAGACCACAGAGGCGGAACGACAGCUCACCUCAAAGUUGGUGUUUUGACAAGUUGAAAGCCUGUGUUUGUUCCUGCAGUACACAGAUAUGUCAUUAUGCUACAUUUAAUAGGCUCGAUCUGGGGAAACCAUUCUUCUUUGUGGCAGGUAUGGCCACAAAUACCAGUAUGGCCAACUAACAGUAUCAGCCUGGUGUUUUAAGUGCUAUAUUGCUCUCAUGGUACACAGGAAGAGCAGAAGUUAGGUGAACUUCAUUCAGCAACGGAGAGCAUGCUUGCAGCGCAGGCCAAGUCACCGCAAAAAGAGGUGUUCGUUUGUUUUAACUGAGGUAGGUGUAACUGCACUAACAGCAACCACCGAAUACGCAGGCUAGUUCUCUCAGUCUUUACUUCUUAAGGGCAAUUUUCAAGAUUUUAGCUUUGAUAUAGCAAUAACUUUUUUAACCAGACCCAGAAUCCCUUCUCUAUCUGAAGGAGCUUUCAUACCCUAUCCGGAUAAGGUUUCAAUCUGUAAUGAGG